RNAcentral lists this ribosomal RNA (1444 nucleotides) under cyanobacterium IHB-283. RNAcentral describes it as "bacterial SSU rRNA". It matches the Rfam family "Bacterial small subunit ribosomal RNA". The record is from RNAcentral. Lineage: Bacteria; Bacillati; Cyanobacteriota.
AGAGUUUGAUCCUGGCUCAGGAUGAACGCUGGCGGCGUGCUUAACACAUGCAAGUCGAACGGGCUCUUCGGAGCUAGUGGCGGACGGGUGAGUAACGCGUGAGAAUCUGCCUACAGGACGGGGACAACAGUUGGAAACGACUGCUAAUACCCGAUGUGCCGAGAGGUGAAACAUUUAUGGCCUGUAGAUGAGCUCGCGUCUGAUUAGCUAGUUGGUGGGGUAAGGGCCUACCAAGGCGACGAUCAGUAGCUGGUCUGAGAGGAUGAUCAGCCACACUGGGACUGAGACACGGCCCAGACUCCUACGGGAGGCAGCAGUGGGGAAUUUUCCGCAAUGGGCGCAAGCCUGACGGAGCAACGCCGCGUGGGGGAGGAAGGUUUUUGGACUGUAAACCCCUUUUCUCAGGGAAGAAGAAAGUGACGGUACCUGAGGAAUAAGCCUCGGCUAAUUCCGUGCCAGCAGCCGCGGUAAUACGGGUGAGGCAAGCGUUAUCCGGAAUUAUUGGGCGUAAAGCGUCCGCAGGCGGUUAAUCAAGUCUGUUGUCAAAGCGUGGGGCUCAACCUCAUACAGGCAAUGGAAACUGAUUGACUAGAGUAUGGUAGGGGUAGCGGGAAUUCCAGGUGUAGCGGUGAAAUGCGUAGAUAUCUGGAAGAACACCAGCGGCGAAAGCGCGCUACUGGGCCAUAACUGACGCUCAUGGACGAAAGCUAGGGGAGCGAAAGGGAUUAGAUACCCCUGUAGUCCUAGCCGUAAACGAUGAACACUAGGUGUUGCGUGAAUCGACCCGCGCAGUGCCGUAGCCAACGCGUUAAGUGUUCCGCCUGGGGAGUACGCACGCAAGUGUGAAACUCAAAGGAAUUGACGGGGGCCCGCACAAGCGGUGGAGUAUGUGGUUUAAUUCGAUGCAACGCGAAGAACCUUACCAGGGUUUGACAUCCCCCGAAUCUCUUGGAAACGAGAGAGUGCCUUCGGGAGCGGGGAGACAGGUGGUGCAUGGCUGUCGUCAGCUCGUGUCGUGAGAUGUUGGGUUAAGUCCCGCAACGAGCGCAACCCACGUUUUUAGUUGCCAUCAUUCAGUUGGGCACUCUAGAGAAACUGCCGGUGACAAACCGGAGGAAGGUGUGGACGACGUCAAGUCAUCAUGCCCCUUACAUCCUGGGCUACACACGUACUACAAUGCUCCGGACAGCGAGACGCGAAGCCGCGAGGUGAAGCAAAUCUCCCAAACCGGGGCUCAGUUCAGAUUGCAGGCUGCAACUCGCCUGCAUGAAGGCGGAAUCGCUAGUAAUCGCAGGUCAGCAUACUGCGGUGAAUACGUUCCCGGGCCUUGUACACACCGCCCGUCACACCAUGGAAGUUGGCCAUGCCCGAAGUCGUUACCCUAACCGUUCGCGGAGGGGGGCGCCGAAGGUAGGGCUGAUGACUGGGGUGAAGUCGUAACAAG